Molecule: non-coding RNA, 94 nt
Organism: Hydnum rufescens UP504
Lineage: Eukaryota; Fungi; Basidiomycota; Agaricomycetes; Cantharellales; Hydnaceae
Source: the annotation of a GenBank genome assembly
GUCCGCCUGGCGAAAUGGCUAUCGCGUCAGACUUCUAUUAGCGCUGCGGAUAAUGGCAAUCUGAAGAUUGCGGGUUCGAGUCCCGCGGUGGAUU